This 440-nucleotide ribosomal RNA is filed under the name uncultured bacterium. RNAcentral's name for it is "partial 16S ribosomal RNA". It matches the Rfam family "Bacterial small subunit ribosomal RNA", at positions 338 to 795 of the family's 1533-position model. The record is from RNAcentral.
CCUACGGGAGGCAGCAGUAGGGAAUAUUGCUCAAUGGGGGAAACCCUGAUGCAGCAACGCCGCGUGUAGGAUGAAGGUUUUCGGAUUGUAAACUCCUUUUGUUAGAGAAGAUAAUGACGGUAUCUAACGAAUAAGCACCGGCUAACUCCGUGCCAGCAGCCGCGGUAAUACGGAGGGUGCAAGCGUUACUCGGAAUCACUGGGCGUAAAGAGCGCGUAGGCGGGAUAGCAAGUCAGAUGUGAAAUCCUAUGGCUUAACCAUAGAACUGCAUUUGAUACUGGUCAUCUAGAGUAUGUGAGAGGUAGGUGGAAUUCUAGGUGUAGGGGUAAAAUGCGUAGAGAUCAGGAGGAAUACUCAUUGCGAAGGCGACCUGCUAGACCAAAACUGACGCUGAUGCGCGAAAGCGUGGGGAGCAAACAGGAUUAGAUACCCCUGUAGUC